This is a long non-coding RNA of Megalobrama amblycephala (Wuchang bream), 2259 nucleotides long. RefSeq lists it as uncharacterized. NCBI's taxonomy places the organism in Eukaryota, Metazoa, Chordata, Actinopteri, Cypriniformes, Xenocyprididae. The transcript has 3 exons. The record is from RefSeq and is a predicted model, not a curated record.
GCUGGCCAUCGCGAGCAGCCGAGAAAAAGAAAUCCCGGUGGCCCGGCUGAUUUGCCACAUUGCCCAGCUUGUUUGUAUUUACCUACUUAUUCAUUAUUACUUUAUUAAUACAACCUACUCUUGAUCAGGGGGAUGCAUCCCAGUUUAUUUUCAGUGGGAUAGGCAGCAGAUGGAGGGCAGCUCGAGCAGUAGCGCUUGCCAAGAUCCUUCACAUCAAUAUAGCAUGAAAGAUAAAAAGACCACCAAGUGAAAAUAUACAAAUAAGCAUCAUUAAAUUUUUUUUUUUUAGGUUUUUAGCUCUGGUUUGUAGUAGCCUACAAUAUUUCAUAGCUACUUGUGCUGCAAAUCAAGAGCACUGUAUGAUUUAUUUCGGUUCAUUGUUGUAUGUUGGAUUCCCGCAGUAAUCAUUUGGGUACGCCACAGGCAUGGAAAUAAAUAAUAAUGAAUAAGUCAAUAAAUAACUAUAAACAAGAUGGGCAAUGUGCCAAAUCAAAAUAGGCCUAUUUGAAUUUAUUCAUUGAAAUUAAUAAUUGAAAAUAAACCAUAGUGCUCUUUACUUGCAGCACCUGUCCUGAAGGAACCCAGCGCAGUAUUAAAACAACUGCAGUGUCUGUUGUCAUGUCACUCCAGCACAGUAGGUGGCGCUGUGAACCUAAAACUGUGUUUGUGUGCCAUUAGCCGCCAGUAAACGUAUAAAAGAAGAAGAAACGCAGACGAACAUCAAAUAGCAGAAAACAAAAAAAAAACAAAAAAAUAAAUAAAUAAAAUGGAACACCCAGUGUCAGCAGUUUUUACACAUCCGCCCAAAGGAUGGGGCUGGAGGUGGCCUUCGUUAUUAAAGGCCCAAAUGGACCGGAACACGUGCCCAGAUCUUCCCGCUGCCCGUCCUCCUCCUCCUUUUUUUUUCUUACGUUUUUAACUAUUUAAGAAUUAUUUUUAUCCAUUUAUCCCCAUCCAAGAUUUUGUUUCUCCUCACUGCCUGUCCUCCACCACUUUUUUUUAUUUUAUUUUUUAACAUCUUUUAUAAUUAUAUUAUGUGAGCUUCACAUUUUUAACUAUUUAAGAAAAUUACUUUUAUCCAUUUGUAUUUAUUUUUUUUACCUCAUUUUUAUUGAAGAUUUUGUCUUUUUUUUUUUUUUAUUUUUUUUUUUUAAAUUGGUUUUACAGUUUUUAAUUUUUUAAUCACCACUUUCUGUUUCCGAUUCACUUUUUUCUUUCUUUUUUAACUCCGUUUUUUAUAUGGGCUUCACACUGGGAAAUGGGCUAUGCCUACACUACCCAGAAUUCCUUGAGAUGGUAUAAAAUGGAGAACAGGACACUUCUUAAGCACCUGCAAUAAGCUCAAUAUAUCUUCAGAGAUAAAACAAGCAGAGACUGACGAGACGUACCUGGACAUUUGAACAUGAGCAUUGAGAGACAUUUCUCCCGUCAGAUCAACUUUGUGAUGAAGAUUCUGGGGCUGCAGAUCAGGAUCAUUGAGGAGGACACGGGGGUGAAUUUCAGGAUCCAUGAAGGACGAGAUCAUGGUAAUGAAGCAGCACUACGGUCAGAGGACAGGACUGGACGUGGCACGCUCCAAGAUAACACAUCUAGUGACUAACUGAAUGUUGAACCUGUAACAGUGUUGAGGCUCUUGACUGCAGUGUGUUCGCAUGACCUCUCUAGUCUUUUAGUAUUGAUUAGAUUCACUUGAGUUUCUUUCAGGUCUUCUGCUGUGCAAAUGAUUCACUUGAUUUUCUGAUUCUCUUUCAGAUCUUCUGCUGUUCAAAUGAUUCACUUGAGUUUCUGAUUCACUUUCAGAUCUUCUGCUGUGCAAAUGAUUCACUUGAGUUUCUGAUUCUCUUUCAGACCUUCUGCUGUUCAAAUGAUUCACUUGAGUUUCUGAUUCUCUUUCAGAUCUUCUCCUCGCUGCUUGUCCUCCUUCACCACCUUUUUCACUGUCACUGUUUUACAACUUGUAUGUGGAGAUUAUUUUAUUCUAAUUUUAAUUUAAGAAUGACUUAUUUUACUACUUGUUAUUCUUUAAGUAUUUAUGUAUUAUGUCAGUUUAAGAAAUGUUAGUGUUCCAGUUUUUGACUGUUUUAAUGUGUUGUUGUUUUUUUUUUUUUUUUUUCUCUUCAACACUCGUGAUUUGCUGCUUGUAAAUAAAGCUCAUCUUGGUUCUUGUUUCUCAUCUCUGGUGUGAUUCUUGUGUCCGUCGGCUCCGUUAUCACUGAGUUACAGCAUUAUAAAAGUAACUAAUUACCAGGGAAAGUAACU